AGGGCACCACCAGGAGUGGAGCCUGUGGCUUAAUUUGACUCAACACGGGGAAACUCACCAGGCCCGGACACCAGAAGGAUUGACAGAUUGAUAGCUCUUUCUUGAUUUGGUGGUUGGUGGUGCAUGGCCGUUCUUAGUUGGUGGAGUGAUCUGUCUGGUUAAUUCCGAUAACGAACGAGACUCUGUCCUGCUAAAUAGAUCCAGCCUUUCUUUUGGGUUGGACUCGCUUCUUAGAGGGACUGGCGAUGACUAGUCGCACGAGAUUGAGCAAUAACAGGUCUGUGAUGCCCUUAGAUGSUCUGGGCCGCACACGCGCUGCACUGAAUUGAUCAGCUAGUUUUUCCCUUUCCGAGAGGAAUGGGUAAACUGUUGAACCCAAUUCGUGGUAGGGAUUAGAGCUUGCAAUUGUUCUCUAUGAACCAGGAAUUCCCAGUAAGCGCGAGUCAUCAGCUCGCGUUGAUUACGUCCCUGUCCUUUGUACACACCGCCCGUCGCUACUACCGAUUGAAUGUUUUAGUG
This 519-nucleotide ribosomal RNA is filed under the name uncultured eukaryote. Its description in RNAcentral is "SSU rRNA". It matches the Rfam family "Eukaryotic small subunit ribosomal RNA", at positions 1172 to 1723 of the family's 1831-position model. The record is from RNAcentral.